Non-coding RNA from Cricetulus griseus (Chinese hamster), 1620 nucleotides. The record is from RefSeq and is a predicted model, not a curated record. Lineage: Eukaryota; Metazoa; Chordata; Mammalia; Rodentia; Cricetidae.
GGAGGGGAGUUAGAGGGAAACUGGGAUUGACAUGUAAAACAAUCUUGUUUCUAAUUUAAAUAAAAAUAGAGAACAAAGUAUCUCCAACAAAAGGGAAAAAAUGAAAUGGGGUACACUCUCUGUAAUGUAGAAACAGUUGAAAUUUGACAGCAACCUGUAUAUUUUUGGGAUUUAUUAUAUUUAGGGUCAUAGUCUGAUACUUUGAUUUUAUCUUUUUAAGAUCCUGAACAGAGAGCUCAGUAAGUUAUUGCCUGACUGCCUGAAUUUUAGAAAUCCAAUGUAAUAUGUGAGUAUUGUUUAAUGUGUAUAAAUUUGUUGUGAUUUGUUUCACACCAAUAGUUCAAUAUCUUGGGGCUCCUGGCUAAGGGCCCACUAAUAACAUUUUGUAUCUCUCACUGUCUGCCAAAUAACAUUUAGUCCCAUUAUGUGUGAUGGUGGGGCCAUUAGGUGAGUUCCAAUUAGGAGCCACAGGACUUGAAAUAUACCCAUUGUUUUCUCUUCAUGCAUUUAGUAAGCAGUAUUUUCUUGAUUAAUUGAGGAAUAAGUUGUAUCUAGUUAGUCUGUGCACUGUGGCAGUACAUUUUGGUUGAGCAAGGAAGGGAAAAGCUUAGACCUCAUUUUAUUUUGUAAAAAUGAAACUCACAUUCAGAGGAAAUUAGUUUGUGCCUGAAUUAAAAGUGGAAUCAAUAGUCAUUGUGGGACCUCCCCUUUUAGUAAACAAGAUAUUUCAUUAAAUUAGGGUGCUGGAUGAUUGAGAUGACCUUGCAUAUCAUCAAUUAUGAAUAACCUUUUGAGGAAAACAAAGUGGGCCUUUUCUUGAAAAAGCUGUGCUUUCCUAAUUUAGUAAAAGAUCUGAUUUUGUCUUGCUGGAUCCAGGCGCCAAACUAAUGUAAUCACUAUCCACUGUGUACAUGCUGGCUCACAGAGAAUUUCUCCAUGCCUGCAAUCUUCAAGAACCUCCCAAUAACAUAGUAAGAACUAAGGAGAAUAAGAGAGAAUAAAUAAAACCUUUUGGGGACUAUUCAAAGAUGUGCAUUAUGUAGGUGUUUCUCAGCAAAGAUUUCUAAUCAUUACAAAUACUUGUAUCCAUUACACAUGGUGUCACUGUAGUACAAAUUAUAUUGAGUGUUAUACUUCAUUUAAUCAUGUAAUAAACUCAUGACUGGGAUAAUUACAGCAUCGUCAUUUGUUUCCUUUGAAAAUAUAUAACUUGGAAAAUUAACCUAGACAUAUGACUAACCAUUGACAGAGUCAUAUUUAAUGUGGAAAUCAAAUGAUCUUACUAAGGUAUUAAAGCUUAUUACUCCCUGAAUGUUUCAUACCAUACUAAUGCUUGAACCUAGACUAGGUAAGAGCUAUAGAAGCACUGGUUUUCUAUUUUCCCUAAAAAUCAGAAGAUAUGGUAGAAUAUUAAAAUUUUUAAUUGUUGUAAAGUGUAGCACAUGUGUGUUCUAUUGGGUCAAAUUCUUUUGAGUUAACAGAGAAGAAUCUGUUCAUAUUCCAAGUUUGAGAUCUCUAAAGGACUACAGAGUAAUAACAAGAGAAGGGUUCCUGCCCUGACUUUCUCCAAUUUCAGACUGUGGAAUGGAAAUAAAAGACACAAACUAUUUCUUCCUCUAA